GCACCCGUAGUUCAACUGGAUAGAAUAUCGGAUUUCGGUUCCGAGGGUUGAAGGUUCGAAUCCUUCCGGGUGUACAA
RNAcentral lists this transfer RNA (77 nucleotides) under Crocinitomicaceae bacterium. RNAcentral's name for it is "tRNA-Arg". It matches the Rfam family "tRNA". Rfam says of the family: Transfer RNA (tRNA) molecules are approximately 80 nucleotides in length. Their secondary structure includes four short double-helical elements and three loops (D, anti-codon, and T loops). The record is from RNAcentral. Lineage: Bacteria; Pseudomonadati; Bacteroidota; Flavobacteriia; Flavobacteriales; Crocinitomicaceae.